This is a long non-coding RNA of Centruroides sculpturatus (bark scorpion), 283 nucleotides long. RefSeq lists it as uncharacterized. Lineage: Eukaryota; Metazoa; Arthropoda; Arachnida; Scorpiones; Buthidae. The record is from RefSeq and is a predicted model, not a curated record. The transcript has 3 exons.
AACAGAAGUUAAUAGCACGAUACAGAGUAUAUCGAUCCAAGAUGAAGAUUUUGACCAUUUUCUGCUGCAUAAUUCUUAUUUUACCUCUAUUCUUGUGUAUGCCGACGGACGUGACAACAGAACUGAAUGAAGUAACUUCAGUUACUGAAGGGAGAGAUGUAGAAAUUAUAGAAGACCUUACAGAAUAUGUCAUGCAUAUUUGCAACAUUUCUUCAAAUCCUCUUUGUAUGAUCAUACAAACAUAACUAGCUAUUAAGUAAAUACUAAGAAUAAUGUAAAAGCA